RNAcentral lists this long non-coding RNA (10145 nucleotides) under Triticum aestivum (bread wheat). Its description in RNAcentral is "long non-coding RNA (TAES_LNC020581)". The record is from RNAcentral. Lineage: Eukaryota; Viridiplantae; Streptophyta; Magnoliopsida; Poales; Poaceae.
UGCGGUUUUCGGCCACGCGAUCGUGAUCGAACGAUCUAGAUGAUGGAGAAGGCUUAGGUGGGUUUUGGGCCAAAUUGGAGGGGUGUUGGGCUGCAACACACACGAGGCCUUUUCGGUCUCUUGGUUAACCGUUGGAGUAUCAAACGAAGUCCAAAUGAUACGAAACUUGACAGACGGUCUACCGGUAGUAAACCAAGGCCGCUUGGCAAGUCUCGGUCCAAUCCGGAAAUGUUUAAUCCCCACACACGAAAGAAAGCUAGAAUUGGCCACCGGAGGAGAACGAAGCGCCGGAAUGCAAAACAGACAACGGGGAAAAUGCUCGAAUGCAUGAGACGAACACGUAUGCAAAUGCAAUGCACAUGAUGACAUGAUAUGAGAUGCAUGACAACGAUAACAACACACGGAGACAAAGACCCAAACCCGAGAAAAUAAAAUAACUUAACGCCGAAAACGGCAAGAGUUGGAGUACAAAUUGGGAAAGUUACAUCCGGGGUGUUACAACACUCCACCACUACGAAAGGAUCUCCUCCCGAGAUCUAGGACUGAAAGAACGCCGGGUACUCAGAAUGGAGGUGAUCCUCUCGUUCCCAGGUAGCUCCACGGUCGGAAUGGUGUGACCACUUGACUUUGAGAAAUUUGAUUGACUUGUUGCGAGUCUUGCAUUCAGUCUCUUCGAGAAUAGCAACUGGGUGCUCACGAUAAGAGAGAUCUUCUUGGAGCUCAAUGUCCUCGAAGUUGACGGUGCGGUCAGGAGUCUUGAAGCACUUUCGAAGCUGAGAGACAUGGAACACGUCAUGAACAUUUGCAAAGUUUGAAGGAAGCUCGAGUUGAUAGGCGAGGUCGCCUCUCUUGCUGACAAUCUUGAAAGGUCGCACGUAUCUGGGGGCAAGCUUCCCUUUGAUACCGAAGCGACGAGUACCUUUCAUAGGAGAGACGCGGAGGUAAACAUGAUCUCGAUCUCGAAAGCCAAAUCACGGUGCUUACUAUCAUAGUAGCUCUUCUGACGGGAUUGGGCUGCUUUGAGGUUAUCACGAAUGACUUUGCACAUUUCUUCUGCCUCUGUGAUUAAGUCAUUACCCAAAAGCUGACGUUCACCGGUUUCAGACCAGUUGAGAGGGGUACGACACUUCCUGCCAUACAGAAUUUCAAAUGGGGCUUUGCCCAAACUUGCUUGAAAACUGUUGUUGUAGGAGAAUUCAGCAUAAGGAAGACAAUCCUCCCACUUCAUGCCGAAGGAGAUCACACAAGCCCUGAGCAUAUCUUCAAGAAUCUGGUUGACACGCUCGACUUGACCGCUAGUUUGAGGAUGGAAAGCUGUGCUGAAGCGGAUGUUGGUGCCCAUGGCCUUCUGAAAAGAAUCCCAAAACUUGGAUGUAAAGAUGUUGCCACGGUCUGAAGAGAUCAUUUGUGGAAUACCGUGCAGAGAGACAAUACGAGAGGUAUAGAGUUCCCCCAAUUGAGCUGCAGUGAUCGACUCUUUGAUAGGCAGAAAGUGAGCCACUUUAGUGAGUUUGUCGAUGACAACGAAUAUAGCAUCAUUGCCACGCUUGGACUUUGGAAACCUAGUCACGAAGUCCAUUUCAAUGUGGUCAAACUUCCAUUCUGGAAUGGCAAGAGGUUGGAGGAGACCAGCUGGCCUUUGGUGUUCUGCCUUCACUCUUUUGCAGACAUCACAUUCAUUCAGGAAUUGAGCGAUCUCGCGCUUCAUUCGAGUCCACCAAUAAGCCUGCUUAAGGUCCUGAUACAUCUUCGUGCUCCUAGGGUGGAUGGAGAGGAGAGAAUUGUGAGCCUCGUUCAUGAUCACUUUACGGAGGUCACCUUUGGGUACAACAAUACGAUCCUCGAAGAAGAGAGUGUCCUUGUCAUCAAGGCGGUAGCACUUGUACUUGGGUUGACUCUUGGCAAUCCCAAUCUUCACCUUUUUCACCAUAGCAUCAAGAAGCUGGGCUUGGAGAAUCUGAUCUUCCAAGGUAGGAGAGACUUGAAGGUUGGCAAGGAAACCUUAAGGAACAACUUGCAGAUUAAGUUUGCGGAAAGCUUCACAAAGCUCGGGUUGAUAAGGCUUGAGAAUCAGACUGUUGCAGUAAGCCUUUCUGCUCAAUGCGUCAGCAAUCACAUUGGCCUUGCCUGGAGUAUACUCGAUACUCGGAUUAUACUCUUGAAUCAUAUUUACCCAUCGAGUUUGCCUGAGGUUGAGAUUAGGCUGAGUGAAGAUGUACUUGAGACUCUUGUGAUCGGUGAAAAUGUCCACUUUUCUUCCCAAUAGAAGAUGUCUCCAAGUCAAAAGAGCAUGCAUAACUGCCGCCAACUCGAGAUCAUGAGUGGGGUAGUUCUUCUCAUUAGGCUUCAACUGGCGAGAGGUAUAAGCAACAACUUUCUUCUCUUGCAUCAAAACUGCGCCAAGACCUUGGAGAGAGGCAUCACAAAAGACCUCGUACGGCUUGGAUUCAUUAGGCAGAGUUAGAACUGGAGCAGUGAUCAAUUUCUCUUUCAAAGUGUUGAAAGCAAUGUCACACUCCGGAGACCAAACGUACUUGACGUGCUUCUGAAGAAGAUUUGAGAGAGGCUUCGCGAUCUUAGAAAAGUUUUCAAUGAAUCUUCGGCAGUAGCUUGCGAGACCGAGGAAGCUACGGAGUUGCUUCACGUUCUGAGGAGGUUCCCAAUUCACAAUUGCAGACACCUUCUCAGGAUUCACGGCAAUACCCUUUGUAGAGAUGAUAUGACCAAGAUAAAGAACCUCAUCGAGCCAAAAUUCACACUUGGAGAACUUGGCGUAGAACUGAUGUUCCCUCAACUUAUCGAGCACCAAACGCAAGUGCUUGGCAUGAUCUUCCUUGUUCUUCGAGAAAACCAGAAUGUCGUCGAGAUAGACCAAAACGAAGUCAUUGGUGCAGGCGUUGAAGAUGAAGUUCAUCAUGCGAGAGAACGUCAGAGGAGCGUUGACGAGGCCAAAAGACAUGACAGUGUAUUCAUAUGAACCAUAGCUUGUCCUGUAAGCCGUCUUGGGAAUAUCUUGCUCACGGAUUCGAAUCUGAUGAUAACCCAUACGGAGAUCAAGCUUGGAGAAUACUUGGGCACCUUUGAGUUGUUCGAACAGCUCAUUGAUGUUGGGAAGUGGGUAUUUGUUCUUGAUGGUCUUCUUGUUCAAUGGACGGUAAUCAACACAAAGCCGGUCCGUUCCAUCCUUCUUCUUCACAAAGAGAACACCGCAACCCCACGGAGAAGAACUAGGCCGGAUGAGACCCAUUUUCUCUUGAAUAUCGAGUUGCUUCUUCAGCUCCUUCAACUCUUCAGGUCCGAGCUUGUAAGGACAUUUGCACACAGGUUCUGUGCUAGGCUCAAGAUCAAUAACGAAUUCAACUGGCCGGUGUGGAGGCAUUCCUGGAAGCUCUUCUGGAAAGACGUCUUGAUAUUCGCAAACGACUGGAAUCUGCGAGAUAGCAUCCAGUUCACCCUUCUCAUUGAGAGAAAACAGACGGAUAAUAUCAUCAUUCGCGGCAAAGACAAUUACAUCCUCAGACGAAUGAGUCAAUUGAAUCUGCCUGGCUGCAUAAUCAAGCUGAGCCUUGUGCUUAGAAAGCCAAUCCAUUCCGAGAAUAAGAUCAAUAUCCGAGUUACCAAGAACCAUUGGGGAAGCCAGAAACUUGAAAUCACCCAUCAUGAUAGAAAUAUCCGGGACUAUUGAAGUAGCCCUCAUAGACUUAGCCGGAGAACCACUCCCAUAGGUUUACCCAACAUUUGUGAAAUGAAGUCAUGCUUGGAAACAAAUGAUCUUGACAUGAAACAAUGCAAUGCGCCGGUGUCAAAAAGAACUUUUGCGGGAAUAGAGUUAACUGGGAAGUUACCCAUGAUGACAUCUGACGAGUCCUCUGCCUGAGCUGCAUUCAGCAAGUUGACCUUAGCGUGCUUGGGGUUAUGCUUAACCAUAGCUGUACUUGCCGAUCUGACAGGAGGAGGAGGAAGACGCUUCUGAUUGAAACACUUGUUGGCAUAGUGACCCUUCUAUUGGCACUUGUUGCACGUGACCUCUGAAAGCGGAUGGUGAUACGGAGCACUCGAUCUUGGAGCUUGAGACGAAGUCUUGUUCUGAAAGCCAGGGUUGGGUGGGUGGGAAGAACCACUGCCACCUUUGUUCUUCUACUGAUACGGCUGACGGAACGGAGGAGGAGGAAGCCAAUACUUCUGCUGCUUGGCCACUUGAGUAGAGGAAGAAGGAGUAACAUCUCUGACUCGCUUCUUGGAAGCAUCACACCUCAACUGAGCAGCCUCUUGCUUCAGUGCCAUGUUGUAGAACUCAUCGUAUCUCAAGGGCUCAAAGAGAACAAGAGCUAGCUGAAUUUCUUCUCUGAGACCACCCCUGAACUAGUAUAUCAUGCUCUUCUCAUCAGGCACGUCCUGCUUGGCAAAGCAGGCGAGCUUCUGGAACAACUUGUUGUAGUCAUCGACAGACAAAGAACCUUGCUUCAGGUUGCGGAAUUCCUCACGCUUGCUUUCAAUCACGCUCUGAGGAAUAUGAUGAGCUCGGAAAUCUUGACGAAAUUCAUCCCAAGUGAUAACACGUCCACCUCUGGAGUCCUUGUACUGCUGGAACCAUUCUGCAGCUUGAUCUUUGAGUUGUAAGGAAGCGAACUUAACAAAGUCCUCAGGCCUGACAUUACUGCACUCGAAAUGCUUGCACAGAUCCACAAGCCAAUCGUCAGUAUCGGUUGCCUCAACACAAUUGCUGAAAGUCUUUGGCUCGUUAGCAAGGAACUGGUUGAGUGUAGCAGAGUGAUUCUGAUCGUUGCCUUGAUUGCGCCCUUGAAGAAUUUGCAUGAUCAACUGUGUGUUUGCAUUGGUUGCGGCCAUCACAGCUUGCCAUGCCUCCGGAGGAGGUGGAGGUGGUGGCGGAUCAGGAUUCGGAGUCGUGCGCGUUGGAGGAGCCAUCCUGAAGAGGUUGACAUCCAUUAGCACAUUGAUAGACAAAUAUUGAAGCUGAAUCCAACGGAAUGAAAAUUGCAACAUAUAGUCUUCACAUCCAAACAAAAUGAACGAAUGCAUUCCUCUUGAAAUGGUCACAUAUCCAUAAAUUGAGAAGCCACGUAGAAUUAAGGUAGAGAAAUAAAUCAACAAGGUACGGAUCAAGAAUGAAUAAUCGGUAAGAAAUCCCAAUCUCAAACCAAUAUCUGUGGAAGAAGAACUAGAGCUACUAGAAUUCCCACCUAUAAAACUCCCGAACCUUUCCGGUUAUGCAAUCAGGUGUUGGGGAUACAGGGGAAGCAUAAUAUCUCACCCAAACUAGCAAAUCCUACAUCCAGCUGUAUCCAUCCUUCAACACAUAACCAAGAAAAACUUCGGAAACCAUCUACCUCAACCUUCAAAAAGCAUCCAUUAUACAAGUUAUGGCGAUACUCCUGAACUCCCGCCCCAGUACUGGGUGGCGUCGAGGUAAUCUCACCAACGAACUGCAUAAAAGAGAUUUUCGAUGUCGGCGUACUAAACUCAGGUAUUCCAGAACUGCAACGAUAAAAUUAUGAUGACAACACCUCAGAGCUCAACUCCCCGGGACACUUCCACAAAACCCCUGACAGGAGGCAUCAAGACAAUGUUCUCAUCAUAAAACCAUCGGAACGAUUCCAAGAUACCCACGUGAUCUUAAUUUUUUUUGUGAAAUUUGAGAAGAGAAGAGUCAAAACUCUACGUCAGGAAGCCUUACCAGAGCGAUGAGGAGACUGGGAAGUAAAAGAAUUCCUAAACUCUCUCAUAUAUAAUUCCUAAAUGACUCAAAAUAUUUUUCUAGACACAACUCGGCCGCUAAGAACGAUCAAGCAAUGGGGCUCCUAAGGUCGAGGAUGGCUCUGAUUACCAACUUGUAACACCCUCGAUGCGACUAUAGAUCCCACGUGUCGAGGCAUGACUUAGAGGCAUAAUCGCAUUGAAGGCAUAUGUCGCAAGUUAGGCAAUCUUCACAACAUCCCAUGUAAUAUGAUAAUAAAAGGGGAGAUAACAUAGUUGGCUUACAGUCGCCAUGUCAAUGAAGUACAUAAAUAACAUUACAUCAUCCAAACACUCAUGGCCCGACUACGACACCAAAAUAAAAGAGAACCCAACAUGCGACAACGGUCCCGUUCACCCCCAACUGGGCACCACUACCGAUCAUCAGGAAAGGAAACAUAGUAACAUUGAGAGUCUUUGUCGAACUCCCACUUGAGCUCAAGUGCGUCUCCUGGAGCGGAAUCAUCAGGCCCUGCAUCUGGUGUAAUAGUAAUCUUUGAGCCACAGGGACUCAGCAAUCUCGCACCCUCGCGAUCAAGACUAUUUAAGCUUAUAGGUAAGGCAAGGUAAAUAUAAGUGGAGCUGCAGCAAGCGACUAGCAAAUAUGGUGGCUAUCCUGUUCGCAAAAGAGAGCGAGAACAGGAGGCAAAGCGCGAGCGAGAAACUAGAGAGUAACCUGUGCAAACAUAACUCCAACACCGUGUCCACUUCCCGGACUCCUCCGAGAAGAGGCCAUCACGGUAACACACUCAGUUGAUUCAUUUUAAUUAAGUUAAGGUUCAAGUUAUCUACCACCGGACAUUAACAAAUUCCCAUCUGCCCAUAACCGCGGGCACGGCUUUCGAAAGUUCAAAUCCCUGCAGGGGAGUCCCAACUUAGCCCAUGACAAGCUCUCACUAUCAACGAAGGAAUAGACCUCCUCCCAAGACGUUCCGAUCAGACUCGGUAUCUCGGUACUUCAAGACAACUCCGACAAUGGUAAAACAAGUCCAGCAACACCACCCGCUAUGCCGACAAAUCCCGAUAGGAGCUGCACAUAUCUCGUUCUCAGGGCACACCGGAUAAGCUAAGCGUACGGGAGCCAACGUAACCCAAGUUGCCAUGGGACGGCCCCGCACGGUGCUCUAGGUUGGACCAACACUCAGAGGAGCACUGGCCCGAGGGGGGGGGGUUAAAAUAAGAUGACCCUUGAGUCCGGGAAACUCAAGGGAAAAGGCUAGGUGGCAAAUGGUAAAACCAAGGUUGGGCAUUGCUGGAGGAGUUUUAUUCAAGGCGGACUAUCAAGGGGUUCCCAUUAUAACCCAACCGCGUAAGGAACGCGAAAUCCGGGAACAUAACACCGAUAUGACGGAAACUAGGGCGGCAAGAGUGGAACAAAACACUAGGCGAGAGGCCGAGCCUUCCACCCUUCACCAAGUAUAUAGAUGCAUUAAGAUAAAAAGAUAAUAUAAUGAUAUCCCAACAAGUAAAUAAAUGUUCCAAGAAGGAACGACCUCCAAUCUUCACCUGCAACUAGCAACGCUAUAAGAGGGGCUGAGCAAAGCGGCAACAUAGCCAAUCAACCGUUUGCUAGGACAUGGUGGGUUAGAGGUUUGACAUGGCAAUUUGGGAGGCUGGAAAGCAAAUGGUAGGCAUCGUAGCAUUGGCAUAGCAAAAGAGCGAGCAAACUAGCAUAGCAAAGAUAGUAGUGAUUUCGAGGGUAUGAUCAUCUUGCCUGCACAGUUGUCAGAGUUGACUGGAUCCUCGAAAGCAAACUCAACGGGCUCCUCGUUAGCAAACUCGUCUCCCAGCUCUACCCAAACAUGACAAACAAGCAACAAGGACACAAUCAACCACGUGCAAGGAUCAAACAGGAUGAUGCAAAGAUGAUAUGCUAUGCGGGAUGCGAUGUGGGAUGCAUAUGCAAGAUGUGACAAGGAAUGCAUGAACCUGGCCUCAACAUGGAAAUCCAAGUGUGCCACUGGAAAGAUGAGAUGAAAUCGCUUGAAAACGAUAUAAAGAACGCCGGAAUCGGAGUUACAGUUUGGAAAUGGCAAGCGAUUCAAAUAUGGCACCGGUUUGCGAUUUACAGCAAGUAGCCAUCUAAAUGCAAUGAGAUGAACAAGCUACAGCGUCCAAACAUGACAACAAAAUACAUGGCAGGGAUGCAUUCAAGAUGCUUAACAAAAGUCUAGCACUGAGCUAUGGCCAAUUCAUCCAUUAACAGGUUCAAACAAGCAUGGCAAAAAUGCAUAUGGCAAACAGAUCUCAGACUUGGUGAAAUUAACACUUGUGUGGAAUUUCAGAUCAGGUAGCACUCUUCGGAGCAACAAAAACUACAUGCUACAGGAACUGAACAUGGCAAAGUAAAGCAUGGAAUGGAGCUACUCAAAGAGCUUAACAAAAGUCCCUUAGUGACUUUGAGCCAAAAGGGAUCAGAAAAUACAAUUGCAAGCAUGUGAACAUAGCAAAAACAUAAUCAGUUUUCAGACUUAGUGAAAACUGGGGCAUGCUGAAAACAUAUAUCAAGUAGGCAUGUUUAUGAGCUCGACGCACUCACUACGGUGCAAGUCAUGAUAAUCUAGGCAUACACCCAUCAAGAACACACAAAAUGCAAGCUAGACAUGGCAAGAACAAUAUUAUAGCAUGUACGGAUCAACUACAACAUCAUCGGCAAAAUUGCAAACAAGUUGACUAUCUGCCCAGAUUCACAAAGUAGCAAGAGUAGAGCUCGAUUGACUCAAGCUAUGGUGCUCCAUAAUUGCAAACAAAGACAUGGAUGGAUAGAGAACUACAAGAUUAACAAAACAUCCUUACUGAUCAUCCUCAAAAGAGGCACGGAUCACUAGGAAACAACAUGAUCAUAUGGCAUCAUGAGAUAAACAGCUCAAGGACUUAGUGGAAUUGCUAAGUCCCUGAAAACAGAGUUACCAAGUGCCUCACUUUGCAAGUUUGUGCUAGUCACCACACACAUCACAAAAAUACAUGGGUUGCACCUCUGGAAAGAUGACAAAACCCUUAACAAAACAUAUGUAGAGCAUCAGGGCAUAUCAUGCACACAUUAAUCAUGGCAAAAAAAGCUAAACGGAGUAGCAGAUCUAACAAUUAUCUCAAGUAGCCCUCUUCUAACAGCAUUUCGGGCAUCAAGAUGAACUCAAAUGAAAAUGAUGCAAUGGAAUGAAAUGUUGUACUCUCUGAGAUGAACAUUUUUAUAUGCUAUAUGCAUGAAACGGAGCUACGGAUGCAAAGUUACGAGGCUAUGAACAUUGCAAAAAAAUAACUAGGACGGACAAAAAGUCAACUGGCUAGGGUUUUCCAGAUUUGGAUCGGGCGACACGGAAAACGAGGAUGGCCGGGGCUCUCGCCGGAGCUGCGGGCCGCGGUGGCCGGAGAGGGGCGCCGGCGACGAGGGAGAGGAGGAGGAGGCCGGGGAGGCGCGGCCGGGCGCGGACGCCGAGGGGCGCGGGAGGCGGUGCGGCGNNNNNNNNNNNNNNNNNNNNNNNNNNNNNNNNNNNNNNNNNNNNNNNNNNNNNNNNNNNNNNNNNNNNNNNNNNNNNNNNNNNNNNNNNNNNNNNNNNNNNNNNNNNNNNNNNNNNNNNNNNNNNNNNNNNNNNNNNNNNNNNNNNNNNNNNNNNNNNNNNNNNNNNNNNNNNNNNNNNNNNNNNNNNNNNNNNNNNNNNNNNNNNNNNNNNNNNNNNNNNNNNNNNNNNNNNNNNNNNNNNNNNNNNNNNNNNNNNNNNNNNNNNNNNNNNNNNNNNNNNNNNNNNNNNNNNNNNNNNNNNNNNNNNNNNNNNNNNNNNNNNNNNNNNNNNNNNNNNNNNNNNNNNNNNNNNNNNNNNNNNNNNNNNNNNNNNNNNNNNNNNNNNNNNNNNNNNNNNNNNNNNNNNNNNNNNNNNNNNNNNNNNNNNNNNNNNNNNNNNNNNNNNNNNNNNNNNNNNNNNNNNNNNGGGCCAAGCGGGCCGGCAGCGCGGAGCGGCGAUGUGGGGCGCCCCGGGGACACGUGGCAGUGGCCCGUUGGUCGGCUGCGGUGGGUGGACGUGUCCGGCCUGAAUCAGACACGUCCGCGGCGAGGGGAGCAGUUUUUUUAGGGUUAGAGAGAGGAGAUCCGAGAUUUGGAAUGGGGGGGUGUAUAUAUAGGCAUAGAGGGAGCUAGGAGAGUCCAAAUGAGGUGCGGUUUUCGGCCACGCGAUCGUGAUCGAAUGAUCUAGAUGAUGGAGAAGGCUUAGGUGGGUUUUGGGCCAAAUUGGAGGGGUGUUGGGUUGCAACACACACGAGGCCUUUUCGGUCCCUCGGUUAACCGUUGGAGUAUCAAACGAAGUCCAAAUGAUACGAAACUUGACAGGCGGUCUACCGGUAGUAAACUAAGGCCGCUUGGCAAGUCUCGGUCCAAUCCGGAAAUGUUUAAUCCCCAC